RNAcentral lists this ribosomal RNA (424 nucleotides) under uncultured bacterium. RNAcentral's name for it is "bacterial SSU rRNA". It matches the Rfam family "Bacterial small subunit ribosomal RNA", at positions 358 to 774 of the family's 1533-position model. The record is from RNAcentral.
GGAAUAUUGCACAAUGGGCGCAAGCCUGAUGCAGCCAUGCCGCGUGUAUGAAGAAGGCCUUCGGGUUGUAAAGUACUUUCAGCGGGGAGGAAGGUGUUGAGGUUAAUAACCUCAGCAAUUGACGUUACCCGCAGAAGAAGCACCGGCUAACUCCGUGCCAGCAGCCGCGGUAAUACGGAGGGUGCAAGCGUUAAUCGGAAUUACUGGGCGUAAAGCGCACGCAGGCGGUCUGUCAAGUCGGAUGUGAAAUCCCCGGGCUCAACCUGGGAACUGCAUUCGAAACUGGCAGGCUAGAGUCUUGUAGAGGGGGGUAGAAUUCCAGGUGUAGCGGUGAAAUGCGUAGAGAUCUGGAGGAAUACCGGUGGCGAAGGCGGCCCCCUGGACAAAGACUGACGCUCAGGUGCGAAAGCGUGGGGAGCAAACA